This is a long non-coding RNA of Raphanus sativus (radish), 645 nucleotides long. RefSeq lists it as uncharacterized. The transcript is spliced from 2 exons. Lineage: Eukaryota; Viridiplantae; Streptophyta; Magnoliopsida; Brassicales; Brassicaceae. The record is from RefSeq and is a predicted model, not a curated record.
AUCUAAUCUCUCGUUAUCUUUCUCUUUCCUCUCCACUCUUUUCUUCUACGACAUUCAUUCUCUACGCUUCUUCAUCUUCUUCUUUCUUUUCUCUCAUCUCUUUGGUUCAUUUUUAUCUCUGCACAUCUCCUCUUUCAAUUUCAUCUCCUCUUCACCACCAUACCGUCGGCCUUCACGUUUGUCACCACCGCCCUCUUUUGAUUCCAUCGUGUCUUCGCCCCCAUCACCACCGUCACGCUCUCACCAGCACCAUGUCACCUCUCUCUCUCUCUGUUUCUAUCCAGAAGAUGAUGAAACAGAAAGAAUAAUUGGUGGUGUUACACAGCGGCAUCUCCGGUUAAGCGUGGUGUGGCAGUGGUACAAAAGCCGGUGGUUUGUUGGUGGUUCGUGGAUGGUGGCUGAAGUUUUCUGAAGGUGGCGAUGGUGGCUAAAGCUUUGUGAAGAUGGAGGAUGGUGGCUGAAGCGUAGAUUUAGGUUUAGUUAACUGGUUUAAUUAGGUUAACAUUAAUUAGUUGGUUUAGUUAGGGUUAGAGUAAUAAUUUAUGUAUUAUUGGUUUAGUGUUGUAAACCAAAAUUUAUUGUAAACCGAAUUUAAUUUAUAAAAUAAAAUUUAUAUGUAAAUAUACAAAAUAUGUUUUCAAUUGA